GGGUUCAUUGCUGAGUUGGUAGAGCACAAGGCUCUUAACCUUGUGGUUGUGGAUUGAAGCCC
Molecule: transfer RNA, 62 nt
Filed under: Triticum aestivum (bread wheat)
Lineage: Eukaryota; Viridiplantae; Streptophyta; Magnoliopsida; Poales; Poaceae
Also listed under: 1 other name
Rfam family: tRNA
About the family: Transfer RNA (tRNA) molecules are approximately 80 nucleotides in length. Their secondary structure includes four short double-helical elements and three loops (D, anti-codon, and T loops). Further hydrogen bonds mediate the characteristic L-shaped molecular structure. tRNAs have two regions of fundamental functional importance: the anti-codon, which is responsible for specific mRNA codon recognition, and the 3' end, to which the tRNAs corresponding amino acid is attached (by aminoacyl-tRNA synthetases). tRNAs cope with the degeneracy of the genetic code in two manners: having more than one tRNA (with a specific anti-codon) for a particular amino acid; and 'wobble' base-pairing, i.e. permitting non-standard base-pairing at the 3rd anti-codon position.
Source: Rfam by way of RNAcentral